AACGAACGCUGGCGGCGUGGAUAAGACAUGCAAGUCGAGCGGGACACUUCGGGUAGCAAUAUUCGGAGUGUUCAGCGGCGCAAGGGUGCGUAACACGUGGGUAAUCUGCCGUGAAGCCUGGAAUAACUCGCUGAAAGGCGAGCUAAUACCGGAUGUGAAGUUUGGAAGGCAUCUUUUGGACUUCAAAGCUGGGGACCGUAAGGCCUGGCACUUCACGAUGAGCCCGCGGCCUAUCAGCUAGUUGGUGAGGUAACGGCUCACCAAGGCUAAGACGGGUAGCUGGUCUGAGAGGACGACCAGCCACACUGGAACUGAGACACGGUCCAGACACCUACGGGUGGCAGCAGUCGAGUAA
Molecule: ribosomal RNA, 355 nt
Filed under: uncultured bacterium
Lineage: Bacteria
Description: bacterial SSU rRNA
Rfam family: Bacterial small subunit ribosomal RNA
Source: RNAcentral